GAUGAACGCUAGCGGGAGGCCUAACACAUGCAAGCCGAGCGGUAUUUGUUCUUCGGAACAGAGAGAGCGGCGCACGGGUGCGGAACACGUGUGCAACCUGCCUUUAUCUGGGGGAUAGCCUUUCGAAAGGAAGAUUAAUACCCCAUAAUAUAUUGAGUGGCAUCAUUUGAUAUUGAAAACUCCGGUGGAUAGAGAUGGGCACGCGCAAGAUUAGAUAGUUGGUGAGGUAACGGCUCACCAAGUCAAUGAUCUUUAGGGGGCCUGAGAGGGUGAUCCCCCACACUGGUACUGAGACACGGACCAGACGCCUACGGGAGGCAGCAGUGAGGAAUAUUGGACAAUGGGUUAGCGCCUGAUCCAGCCAUCCCGCGUGAAGGACGACGGCCCUAUGGGUUGUAAACUUCUUUUGUAUAGGGAUAAACCUACUCUCGUGAGAGUAGCUGAAGGUACUAUACGAAUAAGCACCGGCUAACUCCGUG
This 479-nucleotide ribosomal RNA is filed under the name uncultured bacterium. RNAcentral describes it as "partial 16S ribosomal RNA". It matches the Rfam family "Bacterial small subunit ribosomal RNA", at positions 28 to 507 of the family's 1533-position model. The record is from RNAcentral.